This is a non-coding RNA of Microcebus murinus (gray mouse lemur), 3507 nucleotides long. NCBI's taxonomy places the organism in Eukaryota, Metazoa, Chordata, Mammalia, Primates, Cheirogaleidae. The record is from RefSeq and is a predicted model, not a curated record.
CCCCCGCUGGGACACAUGACCUGGGCUGUACAGAGAUUGGAUCUGGAGCAGUCAUGUGACCUGUGUCUGUCCAAUGGGAAUGGCUUAAGACAUUGGCUAGGAAUGCCGGGACUAAGACCCUCGUCCCUGCUGGGCAAGAACUUGGCAGCGUACAUCCCCUAAAUGGUAUCAGCGUUGGAAACCAAACUGUGGAGGACACAGGGAACUGUGGAAAGAAUCCCUGAUGCUGAGCCCCUCUGCAGCCCAGGGGAGGCUUGCUGCUCUGUGGUGAAUCUGAAGUCUAUUUCCAUUGCUCUGGGCCCAGGCAACAGGGCUUUCCGAAUUUGAGACCAUGAGUGUAAAUCUCUGUGUACCCCCAUCUGCUCCAAGGAUGGGGCAGGGGAGCUGCCCAAGCAAGAUUGCUUCCUUGGCUGCUGCCAGCCCUAGUCUAGCCGCCAGGUAGGGCAGCCCCGCCAGGGGCGGGGUGCUGGCAGUAGCUGGAGCAUAAUGAGGAAAUGGCCAGGAGCACCCUAACCUCCUUGAGGAAACCCCACACAAAAGAUAUGGGAGAGCCCUGCACCAGGGCUCAGGGGGCCUGGGUUCCAGUCUCGGCUCUGCUCUAACUCACUGUGGCCUUGUAUAAGUUCCUUCCCUCUCCUUCUCAGGGAAAGACUUAGGGCCAAAUCACGGGCAUCUUUGCACAUUGACAUCUUGGGCAAUGUUAAUAAAGUUCAUAUGAAAAAGUUCUGAGUUCGUAUUAGUUUGGGAAACACUGAGUUUUUGUUAAGUUUUCUACAGGACUUGUUAGUACAUUUAAUAUGGUAAGUAACGUGUCAGUGAAUUUCAAGGUGGGAGACAGAAUAUGCAUUAUUUUCUCAAACUUUUUGGUCAUGGAACACCUUUUUUGUUAUAGUGUUCCUUGGAACACAUUUCGGAAAGCACCAGAUGGGAAUCCUCAUGUGGCCAGUCUGCCUGUUCCAUCCUCAAGGAAGAAAGGGAAUGGCCAUGGCUGUCAGUGACAGCUGCUUCCCAUCGCCCGCGCUUGCGCGCCCGGCAGGUGGAGGCUGCUCUGCGAGAGCCGGCGCCGGGAGCAGCCCUGCAGGCCCAGACUCACCUGCUCAACACUGCUGGCCCCAGCAACUGGCCUGGAGACUAGCUGCAGAGGAGCAGCGCUGCCUGAUGAAGCCAGAGUGGCGCAGGGAGUCGGGACUGCAGGCCGGAGCUCGCCUGCCUGCACACUGUCUCAGCCGGGGGCAGGUGGGAGCAGCUUCAGGGACCCAGGAGAUACGCCCUCAGGGGAGCCCCGGACUUCUGCGGCACUGAUCUUCAGAAGGUUUGUGGGGACAGCUGGACACUGGCAACAGCUUUGAGGAAGCCUCCGCGGUGAGUGGGGGCUACAGGGAUGCAGCUGACGGGGCUGUGGCAGCAGGAGGGACCCCAAGACCAGGGGGAGCCCAGGCAAAGGACGGGACUCAGCUGGGCAGGGAGGAAGGGGUUCUUAGCUGCAGGUGACAGAAUCCCAUGAUUCUUGUUUAAGCCAAAGGGGAUUUAUCAAGGGGCAUAGGUAGCUCACAGCAGUACCGGGAUCCAAUAAACAGAUCGAGCUUCCAGGAGCGAAUCCCAGCGCCACACCCGGCACCGGGCCGCCAGGAGGCUGCUGCCUCUGCUGCCUGCGGAAGCUGAAGGCCGGGAGCUGCCGCCGCGCACCUGCGCCAAGACCGGCUCCAGUAAGCACACACCUCUGUCCUCCCUCCCCUCACAGCUCAGGUCCAAAGUCUCUUGCUCCAGGUUGGCACAGUCCCAAUUGGAACUCGCGGGAGUCCGGGACGCGUAGUUUCAGCUGCGCAGCCUCCCCGCGCAGAGAAGGGAGCCCAGGAGAGGAGAGCGGGAGCGGGCGCUGCACCAGCCGGCGACAUGCGUCCACCCAUGCUCCUUCCACGUCUCCUCUGCCGGGGCCGGGGAUCAGCCAGACCCUGGCGCACGGCCCUCAGUGUGGCUCUAGCAGUGGCCCUAUGUACUGCGGCCACAUGAGGGCCCUGGAGGCCAAACCCACCUGCCCGGCUUCUGAGCUACCACCCACAACUACCUCCAAGUGGUGUAAACAGAAAGUUUAUUAUGGGAUGUGUGGCAAGUCACAGAGUCACUUGGGAGGGCCAGAGACGCAGGUUUGGCAGCUGUAUAACAAAGAAGACCAUCCACAAUCUCGCUGCAGAGCCAGACCGCAGAGACUGCUCUGCUGCGGCACAGCCCGAGCACCCCCUCUCGCCCCACUGUGGCUCAGGCUACGACACGAAGGCCUGUGCCACCACGAUCCCUGGGGAGCUGGCAUGCCUGUGGCCACCUGGCCCCAGCAGACCACUCCGGUGCCCACCUCUCAGGCCACAGCUUCCCCUUGGCGGAAUGUGGGUUCAUGACUCUCCCCAGCCACAGGGGCGUCUAGGAAAGCAGGUGUUGGGCUUUCACAAUGGGAGACAGAGACUUACGGGGUGAGUGGGAGGUUCCCCCAACUUCUUAGGGUCUGAGUGACCAAAGAGAAUGACGAGUGCCACUUCCAAACCCCCAAAGCCUAGAGCGGAUAGGGGCUGAACAAGACACUUGGCUGCUGGGGUAUGGGUGGGGCCGCUGCAGCCCCCCACGAUUGCACCCCUCCCGGCCCUUCUCUGCUCCCAGCGCCAGCACACUGCCUGGCACCUCGUGGGUGUUGGCGAAAUGUUUGUGCCUGGAGCGGAGCCGCCUGCGUAGCUAAUAUGCCUGGCUCCGGAAACGUGCGGGCGUCUGCCUGGCAGCGGCGCCCAGCCUGCGUUCCAUCCAGAGAUGCUGUGGGGUGAGAAGACCGCGCCUUAGCAAGCUUCCUGCUAACUGUCACGGUGACCCUAGCGACUGGAGAUGGUUCUGAUGCCCGGGGAGGAGAGGGCGAGGACACAGCAGCACAAUAGAAUCGCAGCUGCCGUCUGUCUGCCCGCACGGCUCGGCGGCCGUGUACACCAGCUGGAGGCGGCUGGUUUGCGUCUGCCUCCUCCACCUACUCACCUGGGCAAGGUGCCCAGCCACCCUGCGCCUCAACUUCCCCACCCCUAAAAUGGGGAUGACGACAGCAGCAAAGUCGGCAUGAGACAUCAGGUGUGAGCCGGAGUGACGGCGCCUCCUGAGGCAGAGCUGAGCGCGGCUGCCCGUCUGGAGGUCAGCGCAGGGGCGGCUCUCAGCCGGGGCUCACCUGCCACCUGGCAGCUGGCGAGUGGCAGAAGUGGGGGUUGAACCCAGGUUUGUCUGACUGCAGCCUCUUACCCCAAGCCCAAGAAGGAGGGGGGAGCUCGAGCAGUGCCAGCGCGCCCACGUGCCCGCCCUGCUGGGCCGAGGAGCCCGCGGGAAGGGCUGCAGGCCACAGGCUGUGAGUGACGAGGCAGGAGCUGCAGCCCAGCCUGGCACCAGGGUGGCUUCCUGGGGGGGUGGCAUGGGCUGAGCUCUUGGUUAAAUUCAUUUUAUUGGGGGUAUGACUCAUGAAUAAUAAAACACAGCAUUCUAAGUGAA